GCAGAUACAAAAAUGAUAGAAUCAUUACUGAUUAGACCAAAUACAAAUAUGGUCCCCGAGAGAGAUGAGAUGAAAGAAGAUAAGCAACAAAAAAAUGAGGAAGGACUUUUUAGGAAUCGGUAUCUAAUGAAUUCAAAGGUUCCAACAUAAGCAUAAAUGAAAGGAAAAGAGGGGCACAAAAGGAAACAAGGAUGAAAAUGUCGAGAUAUAUCGGUUUGUGUAUCGGUAACCUCCAACACAAUACAUGCAGAGGAAAUAUCAGAGCCACAAUAUUUCCAUUAAAAUCGUCAUUUUUCGCCGAUAUAUCCCUGACAUUUUCAUGAUAUUUCGGUAGUCGCACCCGAUAUAUUGAUGCCACAUCAUCCCCAUUUCAUUUUUUAUUUUUCCCCAAAACUCUUAUAAUGGGCCCAAGCACUAGCCCAACCCAUACUCUCACACCAGCCCAGCAUUGUGAGCCUUCCACCACUCCAAUGCUUAAAUACACCUUUUUGGUGUCAUGAAUUGUUUGCGAUUGCAAGAAUUGGAAUUUUUAAAAGGCAAGGGAAAAUGCAAGUGAAAUGAGGGAAAAUCCAAGUGAAAUGGAACCAAGGAGAUUUGAACCCCUAACCUCAUGCCCACAAUCCCCCACCAACACUAGCCAACCAACCAAACUUCACUUAAUUAAAUGUACAUAUUUUAUAUAAUAAUUACAUAUAAAAUAAAUAUAAAUUUUUGAAUAAAAAAUACUUAUGCAAAUUAUCAUUAUUUCUUUUAUAUCAUUAAAUGCAUCCAAAAUAGAUGAAUACGCAUAAAGUAUGUUUUCAAGUUAUAAACAUUAUGGUUAAUGUUUUCAAGUUAUAAACAUUAUGGUUAAUGUUUUCACGUUAUAAACAUUAUGGUUAAAUAUCACAACUGUACAUAUAUCAUCAUUUAUUUUAUAUCAUUUAAUAUAAUUGAAUUAAAUGAAUCAUAAUUUUAAUAUUAAAUAUAUUUUUAAA
Molecule: long non-coding RNA, 977 nt
Filed under: Vitis vinifera (wine grape)
Lineage: Eukaryota; Viridiplantae; Streptophyta; Magnoliopsida; Vitales; Vitaceae
Description: long non-coding RNA (VVIN_LNC005999)
Source: RNAcentral